CUCCUGAUCUACUUUGACUUUCUCCCAUCCACUGAGCUCAUUUGAAUAUAGGACAGUGAUGUGACAUCUAUAUACAUAUAGAUCUGUGACUGAAACUCCUGUCUUCGUAUUCCUGUUUGGACCUUUAGGUCAUAUGUUAUCAGGAUGAAUCAUCACAGAUGAUAUUUAUAGAGACUUUUCCAAACUUGGUGACCGACCGCUACGACAAAUUUACAGAGACGUGUGCUGAGAGAAGAAGACUUCUGUUGUUGUGACUGUAUGGAAAUGGAAAAAACAAAGUCUGUGGGCUGAUGAUGUUUGCAUACAUGUAAAUACAGACAGACUUAUUCUCACACUUUGCAUCAAAAACAGAAAAACAAAUUGGCCACGUGACUUUUGUUUGUUUUUUGAUUUUCAGUCUAGAGCGGUAAAAAGAGGAGACCACCUGACUUAGUUUCUGGUUCAGAACCAUAGACCAAAACCACAAGAC
Xyrichtys novacula (pearly razorfish) is the source of this 469-nucleotide non-coding RNA. The record is from the annotation of a GenBank genome assembly. NCBI's taxonomy places the organism in Eukaryota, Metazoa, Chordata, Actinopteri, Labriformes, Labridae.